Molecule: small nuclear RNA, 164 nt
Filed under: Salmo salar (Atlantic salmon)
Lineage: Eukaryota; Metazoa; Chordata; Actinopteri; Salmoniformes; Salmonidae
Description: U1 spliceosomal RNA
Rfam family: U1 spliceosomal RNA
About the family: U1 is a small nuclear RNA (snRNA) component of the spliceosome (involved in pre-mRNA splicing).
Source: Rfam by way of RNAcentral
AUACUUACCUGGCAAGGGAGACACCGUGAUCAAGAAGGCGGUUCACCCAGGGCGAGGCUCAGCCCUUGCACUCCGGCUGUGCUGACCCCUGCGAAUUUCCCAAAUGUGGAAAUCUCGAUUGCAUAAUUUCUGGUAGUGGGGGACUGCGUUCGCGCUCUCCCCUG